This 300-nucleotide ribosomal RNA is filed under the name uncultured Thermanaeromonas sp. RNAcentral describes it as "bacterial SSU rRNA". It matches the Rfam family "Bacterial small subunit ribosomal RNA", at positions 497 to 795 of the family's 1533-position model. Lineage: Bacteria; Bacillati; Bacillota; Clostridia; Neomoorellales; Neomoorellaceae. The record is from RNAcentral.
GGGACGUAGUGCCCGGCGGCCGCGUUAAUACGUAGGGGUCGAGGUUGUUCCGGAGGUACUGGGCGGAAAGCGCAUGCAGGCGGCUCAGUACGCAUGGCGUGAAAGCCCCCGGCUGAACCGGGGAGGGUCGUCGUGUACGGGUGAGCUUGAGGGUAUCAGGGGCUGGUGGAAUUCCCGGUGUAGUGGUGAAAUGCGUAGAGAUCGGGAGGAACACCUGUGGCGAAGGCGGCCAGCUGGGAUACACCUGACGCUGAGAUGCGAAGGCGUGGGGAGCGAACGGGAUUAGAUACCCGUGUAGUC